This 345-nucleotide RNase P RNA is filed under the name Clostridiales bacterium UBA8153. Its description in RNAcentral is "RNase P RNA component class A". It matches the Rfam family "Bacterial RNase P class A". From Rfam's summary of the family: Ribonuclease P (RNase P) is a ubiquitous endoribonuclease, found in archaea, bacteria and eukarya as well as chloroplasts and mitochondria. Its best characterised activity is the generation of mature 5'-ends of tRNAs by cleaving the 5'-leader elements of precursor-tRNAs. The record is from RNAcentral. Lineage: Bacteria; Bacillati; Bacillota; Clostridia; Eubacteriales; Clostridiales Family XVII. Incertae Sedis.
CGAGCGGGCCGCGCGGCCGCGGGCACUGAGUCGAAAGGCUGUGCCUGAGGAAAGUCCGGGCUCCACCGGGCAAGGUGCUGGGUAAUGCCCAGCGGGGGCGACCCCAGGGAAAGUGCCACAGAAACAUACCGCCGUGCCAACGGUAAGGGUGAAAAGGUGGUGUAAGAGACCACCGGCAACCAGGUGACUGGUUGGCCAGGCAAACCCCACCUGGAGCAAGACCGAAUAGGAGGGGCAUGAAGCUGCCCGCUGACCCCUCGGGUGGGUCGCACGAGGCGGCAGGUAACUGCCGUCCCAGAUAGAUGGCCGCUUGCACAGAACCCGGCUUAUAGGCCCGCUCGCCAU